AUACUUGAAUGGUGUAGGAGUUGCUGAGUGAACAUGAAAACGGUUUUCUCGGACUGAGGCUUGGCCAUUGCACUGUAAGUUGAGCUGGCCUACGCGAUUAUUCUUAAUGUGAAUAACUCGCGUUUGUAAUGUUUGCCAAAAUAUUUCGAAUAUUC
RNAcentral lists this small nuclear RNA (155 nucleotides) under Glossina austeni. RNAcentral describes it as "U1 spliceosomal RNA". It matches the Rfam family "U1 spliceosomal RNA". Rfam says of the family: U1 is a small nuclear RNA (snRNA) component of the spliceosome (involved in pre-mRNA splicing). Its 5' end forms complementary base pairs with the 5' splice junction, thus defining the 5' donor site of an intron. The record is from RNAcentral. Lineage: Eukaryota; Metazoa; Arthropoda; Insecta; Diptera; Glossinidae.